Molecule: ribosomal RNA, 703 nt
Filed under: uncultured euryarchaeote
Lineage: Archaea; Methanobacteriati; Methanobacteriota
Description: bacterial SSU rRNA
Rfam family: Archaeal small subunit ribosomal RNA
Source: RNAcentral
UUCCGGUUGAUCCUGCCGGAGGCUACCGCUAUUGGAGUUCGAUUAAGCCAUGCGAGUCGAGAGUCUUAGGGACUCGGCGUACCGCUCAGUAACACGUGGGUAACCUGCCCUAUGCUGGGGAAUAACCUCGAGAAAUUGAGAAUAAUGCCCCAUAGUUCACCACACCUGGAACGGUGGGUGGAUGAAAGCUCCGGCGGCAUAGGAUGGGCCUGCGGCGUAUCAGGUUGUAGGGGGUGUAAUGUACCCUCUAGCCAUCUACGCGUACGGGUGUUGAGAGACAUCGCCCGGAGAUGGAUUCUGAGACACGAAUCCAGACCCUACGGGGUGCAGCAGGCGCGAAAACUUGGCAAUGCGAGCAAUCGUGACCAGGGAACUCCAAGUGCAUCGGGUAAGACCGAUGCUUUUCUUGACUCUUCAAAGGUCUUGGAAUAAGGGGUGGGUAAGGACGGUGCCAGCCGCCGCGGUAAUACCGGCGCCUCAAGUGGUAGUCGCUUUUAUUGGGCCUAAAACGUCCGUAGCCGGUUUGGUACAUUCGUGGGUAAAUCAAGACGCUCAACGUCUUGAAUUCUGCGAGCACGGCCAGACUUGGGACCGGGUGAGGUGUGGGGUACUCUCAGGGUAGGGGUAAAAUCCUGUCAUCCUGAGAGGACCACCUGUUGCGAAGGCGCCACACUAGAACGGAUCCGACGGUCAGGGACGAAGC